GCCGCGUCCCCAGCGUUUCUCUCACCACUGGAGAGUAGUGUGAGGCGACUAUUGCCAGCCUGGCUGCCAAGUAGGACUCAGCAAACCCCCGGGACCUCGCCAGCCCUGCAGCUCAGUCCUCCAGGACUGAGCAGGGACUUCAGGUGACCUCCGCCCUCGCACUCCUGGGCCACGCACCUGGUGAGGAGGUUGCACCGUUUUGUCUCUGAAGUCCCCGGGAGAGAAGCACCGUGAGCUCCAGGUUUAGUCAAAGGCUUCGGGUCCGUCUAGCGAAAUCGUCACCACCUGUGUGGUUUGGGGAAAAUCACUUCAUCUUUGUGAGCUUAUUUCUUUAUCUAAAACAGCAGUGAUAACACGUUUCUGAGGGAUAAAAGCUAAUCAAUAGCUGGGCCUGGCGGUGCACACCUGUGACCCCAGCAUGCUGACAGGUGGGCAGGUCUGGCACAGCAGGUGUGCUCAGAAUGACUGCAGGAUCUGACUUCACGCAGAAGGGAAGAAGAGCUUUUUAAAGUAUUUUUUGCUCCCGAGUUCUCAUUGCCCAGAACACCGAGCGUGUACAUGGUGGCCUUGAUAAUGGAUGAGUGCAGCGAGAGUAAAACAUAUUCAGGAACUAAGAGAGAAGAAAAAUGUCUGGGAUGAAUCUAGUUAGAUUUGACCAUUCUCAGUAAAUGGAGCUAAAGAAGACAGAAAGAUCUCACCAGUUUCCAGAGCACCUUUCCCAGUGAUAACUUGUGUUCCAUUGCUCUUCGGUCUCAAGUGUUCCAAACAUGACACCUUUUGGGGGAUAUGGGGGGGUGUUCAUUUUUCUUGGCUUAAUUAGCCUUUAAUACAAAAUAAAUUACUCUGAUUCCUAGCACAUGAAAGUCAAAUGAGAUAAGC
Molecule: long non-coding RNA, 879 nt
Filed under: Fukomys damarensis (Damara mole-rat)
Lineage: Eukaryota; Metazoa; Chordata; Mammalia; Rodentia; Bathyergidae
Description: lncRNA (ENSFDAG00000024995.1)
Source: RNAcentral